GUGAGUAACGCGUGAGCAACCUGUCCUUCACAGGGGGAUAACACAGCGAAAGUUGUACUAAUACCGCAUAAGACCACAACGGGACAUCCCGAAGGGGUCAAAGGAGCAAUCCGGUGAAGGGUGGGCUCGCGUCCGAUUAGAUAGUUGGUGAGGUAACGGCCCACCAAGUCGACGAUCGGUAGCCGACCUGAGAGGGUGAUCGGCCACAUUGGGACUGAGACACGGCCCAAACUCCUACGGGAGGCAGCAGUGGGGAAUAUUGGGCAAUGGGGGAAACCCUGACCCAGCAACGCCGCGUGAGGGAAGAAGGUUUUCGGAUCGUAAACCUCUGUCCUUGGUGAAGAGGAAGAGACGGUAGCCAAGGAGGAAGCCCCGGCUAACUACGUGCCAGCAGCCGCGGUAAUACGUAGGGGGCGAGCGUUGUCCGGAAUGAUUGGGCGUAAAGGGCGCGUAGGCGGCCCGGUAAGUCUGGAGUGAAAGUCCUGUUUUUAAGAUGGGAAUUGCUUUGGAUACUGUCGGGCUUGAGUGCAGGAGAGGUAAGUGGAAUUCCCAGUGUAGCGGUGAAAUGCGUAGAGAUUGGGAGGAACACCAGUGGCGAAGGCGACUUACUGGACUGUAACUGACGCUGAGGCGCGAAAGUGUGGGGAGCAAACAGGAUUAGAUACCCUGGUAGUCCACACUGUAAACGAUGAAUGCUAGGUGUAGGGGGUAUCGACCCCUUCUGUGCCGCAGUUAACACAAUAAGCAUUCCGCCUGGGGAGUACGGCCGCAAGGUUGAAACUCAAAGGAAUUGACGGGGGCCCGCACAAGCAGCGGAGCAUGUGGUUUAAUUCGACGCAACGCGAAGAACCUUACCAGGUCUUGACAUCCAGUAAAACUUGCAGAGAUGCAAGGUGAGCUUGCUCAUACUGAGACAGGUGGUGCAUGGUUGUCGUCAGCUCGUGUCGUGAGAUGUUGGGUUAAGUCCCGCAACGAGCGCAACCCUUAUUUUCAGUUACUAACGCGCAAUGGCGAGGACUCUGAAGAGACUGCCGGGGACAACUCGGAGGAAGGUGGGGACGACGUCAAAUCAUCAUGCCCCUUAUGACCUGGGCUACACACGUGCUACAAUGGCCACCACAGA
This 1123-nucleotide ribosomal RNA is filed under the name uncultured bacterium. RNAcentral describes it as "bacterial SSU rRNA". It matches the Rfam family "Bacterial small subunit ribosomal RNA", at positions 106 to 1243 of the family's 1533-position model. The record is from RNAcentral.